GGAGAGCAGAGAUGGCAUUCAGACACUAAUCAUGGUCUUAGGAAUAGGGUGACAGAGCUGGUCCUUACGCCGUUGGAAGGUGGUCUUGGCUGAUCAGGAGAUGGUCUCUGGUAGCUGGGAAAUUAUCUCAGGUGACUGGGAGCUGGUAUUGGAUGACCAGGAGAUGGUCUUGUUUGACCAGGAGGUGGUUUUGGGUGGCCAAGAGGGGCCAUCCUGCCUGUGGUGCAGCUCUACCUGGUCUGUGCCCAUGUGGCCUUGCUGCAGGACCUGCCAUAGGGACCUGGGAACACGGGGAUGGGGCCGCACAGGGUCCCUGGGGGAUGAUGUCACAUGUGCCCUGGCCCUGGGGAUCCCUGUGGGGGGACAUCACAUAUGUCCUCACCCUGGGGUGUGGGAUGCGGUAGCCUCCUUCCAAGAUGGGGACACUGAGCACCCAUGGUUGGUGGGAGUCAAGACCAGGGUCCAGCGUGGCUGAAGGGAAGUGGCUGUGUCCCCAUGCCAGCCCCUCACCGUGCUAGGCCCCACUCAACCCUCCUCUCGCCCCACAGGCUCGACAGCAGCUGCCUCACCAGGAUGAACGGGAUGGCCAACGUCAACCCUGCCGGCCGCAGCCACUACACCUCUGCCAUCCCAGUGCCCCGUGCCGUGGCCCAUGGCAAACCACAUGCUCCAGCCACCCCGAGCACCCCAGAGCCCCCUGGGGCUCCAUCCCCCCGACCAGGGAAGCUGCUGGCCCCUGGCCCCAAGACCCUCAAGCCCAAAAGCGCUGGCAGAGCCGCCGGCCGUGAGCCGGCCAUAAGCAGGGAGGGCAGCCCCAGCAUGCACCCCCGCGGGGGGCAGAAAGCCCCAGUGAAACCCCUGGUGUCCCCUGGGAAGUGGCCAGAGGCAGCAGGCAGUGGAAGGAGAGGGGCAAGCAGGGUGGGGGAGCCCACUGAGCUGCCCAAAGCCCCCCCAGCGCAGGGCAGGGGUGGGGGGCGACCAGGGGGGUCCACCGGGAGGAGCAGCGGGAUGGCUACAGCUGGGACAGGGGAUGAGGCUCAUGGUGGCUCUCAGGGCAGGGGUCCCGUGUUCGGGUCAGGGGCCAUCACCUUCUCCUCAGGCCCCCCCCACAGCCACCCAGUCACCGCCACCGUGGCACCCUUCCAGUACCGGCUCCAGGAGGAAGCGGAGGAGGAGAGGGCCACAUCCCCGGGUGGCGAGUGCCCCGGUCCUGCAGAGCGACCCGACCCCAAAGCCGGAGGAGGCCUGAGUGAGUCUGGGGGGGUUUGCCAGGGAUGAGGGGGUCCUGCCGGGGGGCUGCCAGGAUGGUGCGGGGGAGCGGAGGCUCAUGCUGGAGUGACUUGACCCACG
RNAcentral lists this long non-coding RNA (1350 nucleotides) under Calidris pugnax (ruff). RNAcentral describes it as "lncRNA (ENSCPUG00000017575.1)". Lineage: Eukaryota; Metazoa; Chordata; Aves; Charadriiformes; Scolopacidae. The record is from RNAcentral.